This 72-nucleotide transfer RNA is filed under the name Lignipirellula cremea. Its description in RNAcentral is "Planctomycetes bacterium Pla85_3_4 tRNA-Ala". It matches the Rfam family "tRNA". From Rfam's summary of the family: Transfer RNA (tRNA) molecules are approximately 80 nucleotides in length. Their secondary structure includes four short double-helical elements and three loops (D, anti-codon, and T loops). The record is from RNAcentral. Lineage: Bacteria; Pseudomonadati; Planctomycetota; Planctomycetia; Pirellulales; Pirellulaceae.
GGGCUCAUGGUCCAAGGGGAAGACUCCGCCCUGGCGUGGCGGCAAUCCGGGUUCAACUCCCGGUGAGUCCAC